This 266-nucleotide ribosomal RNA is filed under the name uncultured bacterium. Its description in RNAcentral is "partial 16S ribosomal RNA". The stretch from base 29 to 266 matches the Rfam family "Bacterial small subunit ribosomal RNA", at positions 547 to 777 of the family's 1533-position model. The record is from RNAcentral.
UAGCGUAAGGGUGCAAGCGGUUUGUCCGGAAAUUAUUGGGCGUAAAGAGCUUCGUAGGCGGUCUGUCGCGUCGGCUGUGAAAUCCCGGAGCUCAACUCCGGGUCGUGCAGGUCGAUACGGGCAAACUGGGAGUACUGCAGGGGAGACUGGAAUUCCUGGUGUAGCGGUGAAAUGCGCAGAUAUCAGGAGGAACACCGGUGGCGAAGGCGGGUCUCUGGGCAGUAAACUGACGUGGAGGAAGCGGAAAGCGUGGGGAGCGAACAGGA